RNAcentral lists this ribosomal RNA (759 nucleotides) under uncultured archaeon. RNAcentral's name for it is "bacterial SSU rRNA". It matches the Rfam family "Archaeal small subunit ribosomal RNA", at positions 102 to 859 of the family's 1478-position model. The record is from RNAcentral.
GGAUAACCUGCCCUUGGGACCGGCAUAACCCCGGGAAACUGGGAAUAAUUCCGGAUAACGCACAUAUGCUGGAAUGCUUUCUGCGUAAAAUGGAUUCGUCCGCCCAAGGAUGGGUCUGCGGCCUAUCAGGUAGUAGUGGGUGUAAUGUACCUACUAGCCUACAACGGGUACGGGUUGUGAGAGCAAGAGCCCGGAGAUGGAUUCUGAGACAUGAAUCCAGGCCCUACGGGGCGCAGCAGGCGCGAAAACUUUACAAUGCGGGAAACCGUGAUAAGGGGACACCGAGUGCUAGCAUCAUAUGCUGGCUGUCCAGGUGUGUAAAAUACACCUGUUAGCAAGGGCCGGGCAAGACCGGUGCCAGCCGCCGCGGUAACACCGGCGGCCCGAGUGGUGAUCGUGAUUAUUGGGUCUAAAGGGUCCGUAGCCGGUUUGGUCAGUCCUCCGGGAAAUCUGAUAGCUCAACUAUUAGGCUUUCGGGGGAUACUGCCAGGCUUGGAACCGGGAGAGGUAAGAGGUACUACAGGGGUAGGAGUGAAAUCUUGUAAUCCCUGUGGGACCACCUGUGGCGAAGGCGUCUUACCAGAACGGGUUCGACGGUGAGGGACGAAAGCUGGGGGCACGAACCGGAUUAGAUACCCGGGUAGUCCCAGCCGUAAACGAUGCUCGCUAGGUGUCAGGCAUGGCGCGACCGUGUCUGGUGCCGCAGGGAAGCCGUGAAGCGAGCCACCUGGGAAGUACGGCCGCAAGGCUGAAACUUAA